This is a long non-coding RNA of Ctenopharyngodon idella (grass carp), 842 nucleotides long. RefSeq lists it as uncharacterized. The record is from RefSeq and is a predicted model, not a curated record. The transcript is spliced from 3 exons. NCBI's taxonomy places the organism in Eukaryota, Metazoa, Chordata, Actinopteri, Cypriniformes, Xenocyprididae.
UUUUCAUAUUAAUAACGUUUUACGCUACAUGUGUCCAGAUACCAUCAGAGAUUCACCGAUGGUCACCAUCUACCCGAUCUCUUCGAUUUCAGUUGACCAAAGUGAAAAAAGAAAUAGUUAUGGCAGAUUCAGUUGGUUGUAUUUGGAUUCUUUGUCUCUAUCUUCAAAUGUAGGGUUGUUAAUGGUUUGCAGGACUUCCUGAAUCGUCGUCUCUCAUUCUAACACAGGCCAGAUGUGGAUGAGUAUUCCCUGAUUUCCACUGAAGUCUUCUGAAGUGCUACAGCAAACUGAUGUCUGUGUACUGUAGAUAUCAAACCUGCAAACUCCCAAGUGGUGAAAAAGAUACUUUUGGAGAUGUUGCAUUAAAACCCUUCCAGCUAUCCUUCCUUCAUUGCCAUACAAAGUGGGUUGGAACAAAUAUCAUUCAGCAUUUGGACGAGGAGGAGCAAUGGAGGCAAUUCCCUCAUGUCCUGCAGUUUUGGGAUAAAAUCAAGCCUUCGUUAUUGUGGGAGGAAUGGAACUGAAGCAAGACCAUCUUUUACAAGCAGUUGAUACAUGCUUUAAAUUAUUGUACAUUUUGGACCAGCCUGCUGGGCAGUCUCUACAGCACACAAUUGCUACUCCAUAUUCUGUUCCAUCAACACAGUGUCACCUAUUUAAACAGUUUAUAAUUACAUUGUCUGUACUAGCUUUGUUCUGUUUAUUUAUUUAUUUAUGAUUCUUGUAAAUUGAAACAUAAUGCAAGUAACUUAAUGUGAUAAUUAAAUACACAUUUGCAACCAAUAAAUUAAUUUAAUAGUUUGCGACUUUAAAUGUAAUGGAAAUAAAGCAUUUUGAAUAUA